Haliotis rubra (blacklip abalone) is the source of this 1301-nucleotide long non-coding RNA. RefSeq lists it as uncharacterized. The record is from RefSeq and is a predicted model, not a curated record. NCBI's taxonomy places the organism in Eukaryota, Metazoa, Mollusca, Gastropoda, Lepetellida, Haliotidae. The transcript has 2 exons.
AAUUGGGAUACGAUGACACUUGUCAACCAAGUCAGUGAGCCUGACCACCCGACCACGUUAGUCGUCUUUGACGACAAGCAUGGGUUACUGAAGAUCAAUUCUAACCCGGAUCUUCACGGGUCACACGCUGUCUUGACCAGGUGUACCAAGUUGGACGUUAUUCGAAUGAAGCAGUGAGUAAGCGGUCUCUGGACAACAAUGACAUUACUUGACAAAGUAUAAACACUUAAAAAAUAGCGUCUGCGCGUUCCUCAACUGCCAAGUGUGUUUAUCCAGAAUGCUGAUCCACAAAUUAUCUGUUUGAGCACGACAAAUAUCUUACAAAAAUGCAUUUAGUACACGAGAUAUUACGUUCAGCUUAAUUUCAAGACACUUGUCACAACAUAGAUCACGUUCGUAUUAUCAAACAACUUAUAUUCAAGAACAUAAAUAAAGCAUCACUGUUAAUCUAUAAUGUAUAAUAUGUGUAGGAAAUACCAUUUUGUAUAUACAGUGUUCACUGAAACACGUUAUCUAACCCUGAUUAAUAAUUAUACAUGUAUUUCGAAUUUUCAUGAAUGAUUUAUUGUUUCUGAAUGUAUAUUCAUGCAUAUUUAAUGUAAUCGUGUGUGUCUGUAUCUCUAAUCCCUGAUUUAAUCAUUGCCACAGGUUUUUCUGAUAUCAUUUUAAUGACACUCAUUGAAAUGCUAUAGCCAUACAAUGAAACCUUUCAGAACUGAAAUGGAUUAACGGUACCUUGUUUCUUACGUAACUGCACGAAUUGGCAUACGAAAGCAUAAUAUUAGAGUUGCUACACAAAGCGACGACAAAAGUUUCUAAUAUUAGUGUGACGGCACUAUUCGACACAGGAACAAUUUCACUUACAGAGUUAGUUGCUCAUGUUCGAUGAAACAGUGUGAUAUUUGUGUGAAGACAUGUUCAGUAUUACGCACUACUGGACAGAGACGGUUAGAUUUCUGAAAGACAGACCAGUCAUUUCAAAGAUACAUUUCAUUGACUUAGAAACGAUUUAUUUUCAUGGUUUCUAUACAAGUCGACAUUGAGUCGAUUAAAACAGACUUCAUUUUACUACAGAUCAUGACAAGUAUUAUUAUUUGGUUACAUCGAGAUGUGUUAAGUCCAGUGUGCGAAAUAGCCACUGGCCCGUUAGCCCGUGGCUAUAAAAAUCCAGUCGGCCAGUAAAUCUCCAGUCACUGGCCCGACUGGCUAGUGAAUUUUCAUGGGGUCAUUUUGUAAAUAUAUCACUCUCUCGACUUUUUAAGUUGUAACACACUUUCAAAUCAUGAAAGAUUAUGGUCUGA